Molecule: ribosomal RNA, 442 nt
Filed under: uncultured bacterium
Lineage: Bacteria
Description: partial 16S ribosomal RNA
Rfam family: Bacterial small subunit ribosomal RNA
Source: RNAcentral
CCUACGGGUGGCAGCAGUGGGGAAUAUUGGUCAAUGGGCGCAAGCCUGAACCAGCAACGCCGCGUGAAGGAAGAAGGUUUUCGGGUUGUAAACUUCUUUUAAGAGGGAAGAGCAGAAGGGGAUACCUCUUGAAUAAACCACGGCUAACUACGUGCCAGCAGCCGCGGUCAUACGUAGGGGGCAAGCGUUGUUCGGAUUGACUGGGUGUAAAGGGCGUGUAGCGGGGCUGACAAGUCAGAUGUGAAAUCCCGUGGCUCAACCACGGAACUGCAUUUGAAACUGUCUGUCUGGAGUAUCGGAGAGGCAGGCGGAAUGCGUGGUGUAGCGGUGAAAUGCGUAGAUAUUAGGAGGAACACCAGUGGCGAAGGCGGCCUGCUGGACGACAACUGACGGUGAGGCGCGAAAGCGUGGGGAGCAAACAGGAUUAGAUACCCCUGUAGUC